UAGCUCAAGUGGUAGAGUGCGUGCUUAGUAUGCACAAGGUCCUGGGUUCAAUCCCCAG
RNAcentral lists this transfer RNA (58 nucleotides) under Camelus bactrianus (Bactrian camel). It matches the Rfam family "tRNA", at positions 8 to 63 of the family's 71-position model. From Rfam's summary of the family: Transfer RNA (tRNA) molecules are approximately 80 nucleotides in length. Their secondary structure includes four short double-helical elements and three loops (D, anti-codon, and T loops). Lineage: Eukaryota; Metazoa; Chordata; Mammalia; Artiodactyla; Camelidae. The record is from Rfam by way of RNAcentral. RNAcentral also lists the same sequence under 3 other names.